RNAcentral lists this long non-coding RNA (1591 nucleotides) under Androctonus crassicauda. The record is from RNAcentral. Lineage: Eukaryota; Metazoa; Arthropoda; Arachnida; Scorpiones; Buthidae.
CUUAUAAGUAUAGUUAUUGUAAUUGUAACGGUAAAUAAUUAUUAUAAUUAUUAUUAUUAUUAAUUGAAUUAUUGUAUUGUCACGGGUAGGUAACACUUCUCCCUGUCUGUGUGCGUGUUACUCUUUCUUCUGUUGCGCGUUUUUGUUCUCCUCGGACGCACGAAUCGCCACCCGGACUAACGGGAUUUUGUGAGUGAAGACCCAGUAGUGUUCUCUCGUUUCUCUAGCGCCGUGUUUUCGUCUCUGGUGUGUUUUUGACUACUAAUUCGCUCGUCUCGAAGGAGUCGACCGGGAAAGGUUUUUGUAAACCUAACCCCUGGAAGGUGAAGGUUACGGUGACAGGAAAACGACUGUACAUGGAAAGGUGUCAGGAAGCGACACCGACGUCGGAUGGCGAGUUAAGUACCGAGUGCCGACGCAACGCAGGAGGCGAAGUAGCUGCUUGUCGUUUUUGUUUUUCGUCUUUCCGACCGCCUCCUUGGCGCGUGCGUUAGCGCAACACCGCCUCCGGCGGAAUGAGGUAGUAUCCGAAUAGACGACGCAGUGCGGACGAGGAAAAACCGAGUGCCUCAAAGUAAGCCACGAGGAACCUUCUCCCAAUGCCUCCCCCCCUGGUGGUUAGAAUUAAAACAGCGUCAAACAGACAAGCCAAGCGCGAGGUCAUCGACCAUCCGUGGAUUGCCCAAGUGCCUCUACCGGCGGGCGCGUCCGCCACGCAGCCGGCGACGGAAGCGUCGGACGUGGCCCUCCCGACUGUUUUUUUUAUACACACCGCCGUCGAUCGCAUGUCAAGCGAACAUUUUCGUCUCUUCUAUGUCAGCAGCCAUUUUCUAACCACUACAGGGAGGCUCUAAACCGUCGACGUUACAUCCAUUGGGUUUCAGUCCUUGGUCUCAUCACUCUCUUCGGAGAGUCUUCUUUCCUACAUCGCACCCGCCUCGUCCGACUUUCCACGCCCAGGGUAGCGCGGGCGGCCCAUCCGCACGGCUUUCUCACUCGGCCGAUAGCAUUCCUAACAUUCAAAUCGAUCCGCAUGUUCCUAAUGUAGUAUCAUCUGGGUAGCGCGCUUCUGCCGUUCGUUCCUUCACCACGCGACAGUAAACAAGUCUGGUAUACGAUCUCCUUCGACCAUUAUUAUCUUUACGCGCCGACGCGUAACCGUCGCUCUCCCCAUAUCAUGUGCCAACAGUCGAUCGAGGUUUCGCUAACCUAUGCAACCAGCAUUCCCUUCCGGCCCCGGGCCGGAGGCCGUUGCGCAUCCAUUCCCAUCGACACCCAUAUCUGUCAGUCGACGUAAAACUUUCGACCAACUGCGUGUCACGUGACUUUGCUCAGAUACCGAGGGACGGUUCUUUAUAUACUAAUAUAACGACAGUCAAUGUUGUCAUUUUUUAAGAGGGUUUUCCUAUCUGGUUCGUUCUCAUCCAUCGUAUCGAUGUCCUCUGUCAUACUUUCUCGUGUUAGACAUGUUUUAGUGAAAUUGGGGGAAAAAACAAAAAAAAAUACACACAUAUAUAUAUAGAUAUAUAUAUAUAUAUAUAUAUAUAUAUAUUUAAACGGGAGAAUCACACUGUGUAAGACAGAUGUAACA